Molecule: ribosomal RNA, 271 nt
Filed under: uncultured bacterium
Lineage: Bacteria
Description: partial 16S ribosomal RNA
Rfam family: Bacterial small subunit ribosomal RNA
Source: RNAcentral
UGGCGGCCAACAAAGAGAGGCGAGACCGCGAGGUGGAGCAAAUCUCAAAAAGCCGUCCCAGUUCGGAUCGCAGGCUGCAACCCGCCUGCGUGAAGUUGGAAUCGCUAGUAAUCGCGGAUCAGCAUGCCGCGGUGAAAUACGUUCCCGGGCCUUGUACACACCGCCCGUCACACCAUGAGAGUCGGGAACACCCGAAGUCCGUAGCCUAACCGCAAGGGGGGCGCGGCCGAAGGUGGGUUCGAUAAUUGGGGUGAAGUCGUAACAAGGUACC